AUUGAACGCUGGCGGCAGGCCUAACACAUGCAAGUCGAGCGGAUGAAGGGAGCUUGCUCCUGGAUUCAGCGGCGGACGGGUGAGUAAUGCCUAGGAAUCUGCCUGGUAGUGGGGGAUAACGUCCGGAAACGGGCGCUAAUACCGCAUACGUCCUGAGGGAGAAAGUGGGGGAUCUUCGGACCUCACGCUAUCAGAUGAGCCUAGGUCGGAUUAGCUAGUUGGUGGGGUAAAGGCCUACCAAGGCGACGAUCCGUAACUGGUCUGAGAGGAUGAUCAGUCACACUGGAACUGAGACACGGUCCAGACUCCUACGGGAGGCAGCAGUGGGGAAUCUUGGACAAUGGGCGAAAGCCUGAUCCAGCCAUGCCGCGUGUGUGAAGAAGGUCUUCGGAUUGUAAAGCACUUUAAGUUGGGAGGAAGGGCAGUGAGUUAAUACCUUGCUGUUUUGACGUUACCAACAGAAUAAGCACCGGCUAACUUCGUG
Molecule: ribosomal RNA, 484 nt
Filed under: uncultured bacterium
Lineage: Bacteria
Description: partial 16S ribosomal RNA
Rfam family: Bacterial small subunit ribosomal RNA
Source: RNAcentral